RNAcentral lists this non-coding RNA (560 nucleotides) under Trichobilharzia regenti. RNAcentral describes it as "Eukaryotic large subunit ribosomal RNA". It matches the Rfam family "Eukaryotic large subunit ribosomal RNA", at positions 2918 to 3401 of the family's 3401-position model. The record is from Rfam by way of RNAcentral. Lineage: Eukaryota; Metazoa; Platyhelminthes; Trematoda; Strigeidida; Schistosomatidae.
CAAGCGUUGGAUUGUUCAUCCACUAAUUGGGAACGUGAGCUGGGUUCAGACCGUCUUCAGACAGGUUAGUUUUAUCCUACUAAUGAGUACAGUAAUCAGUGAAGUACAGUCUGGUCGUUGCUAUGGUAAUCCUGUUUAGUACGAGAGGAACCGAAGGUUCAUACAAUUGGUAUAUGUGCCUGGUCGAAAGGCCAAUGGUGUGAAGCUACCAUCUUAGGGAUUAAGACUGAACGCCUCUAAGUCUGAAUCCCGUCCAUAUUUGCAACGGUACAUUCUGUAUCCGACACGUGGCUGUGCAAGCUUACGUAUUCCUUUCGGUGUCUGGACUGGACCAUGUGCUCGGCGAGGCCCAUUAGGUCUGGUGUCACGCCAGAGCGAUGACCACAAACUACGCUUCAGAUUUCGGGGUGUAGGGGUCGACACGAUAUCUAAUUGUGGUAUGAACGUGAGGAUAUUAAAUCGUUUGUAGACGACUUAAUGUUUUGUCAGAGAGACGUAAGUGCUCGAGCAGCUAUUACACUGCGAGGCAUUGAGUUCUAUCCCUGCUUGUUGGGAAAUAC